RNAcentral lists this long non-coding RNA (1003 nucleotides) under Macaca mulatta (Rhesus monkey). RNAcentral's name for it is "lncRNA (ENSMMUG00000060217.1)". The record is from RNAcentral. Lineage: Eukaryota; Metazoa; Chordata; Mammalia; Primates; Cercopithecidae.
AUAGUUUACAUCUCUUCUAGAUUUCCAAUUAUUGAAAAGCAUUACUCUCAUGUGAUUUAUUAUUUGCUUUGGUUAUGUUUGCCAGGACUUUAUUAUAUUAAUAAUACAUGUUCUACAUUUUGGGGUUUCCAUUUUUAAGAAAACACAGAUUAUUUAUUAUCCUCAUUAAUGAAACAAGAGAGCAAAAAAAUUAUUUAUGUCAAGAUAUUGUCCAACAUAAAUACCUUUUUACUAUAACUUGAUGCCAUCUUUGCAGAUGAGAAAAGUUUAGGACAUCGUCAAAAAGGCAAAAAUAAAUACAUAUAUAGAUAGAAUAAAACAAAGUACCUAUACAUAUGUUACUCUUUUUUACCUAAAAACUGUUCUGGAUUAUCUUCUUCUGAUGCUCUCAAAAUGUAUCACCAAAGUUUUGAAGACUUAGAAGCUAUUAAAGCGGUAGUGUUUAGACUGAGUUCUCUGUUAAUGUUAAACCUAAUAGUAAAGAAAUACCAGAAAAAAAAAUAAACAAGAAAAAUGCUACUUUCAGCACUCUGUUCCAAUAAGUAACUUAUGAGAGACACUUGCUUGUAAAUUUCCAUGAAUCUUGCCUUCGGGGAAUUUUCCUAUUGAAUACCAGGACUGCAAUACAAAAUGUGGGCUUCUACGACAUGCUGCUGUAGGAAUGUGUGCUGUAGGAAGAGCCCCGCUUCCUUCUCUAAUAACCAAUUUUCUCCUAACCAGAAAGGCAUGGGCUUUCAUGCAAAGCUCUACGGAUUUACUGUCCUCCAUGACGCUUGGGCACCACAGAAUACUGUCGGACUGCCUUAUGCGAAGGGAUCACAGAUAUCAUAAAUUCUGUUAACAGAAGAUCCAUGUAAUGGCUACAUCAAGCAGAGGGAUCCACACUUAUAUGGAAGCAUCUACUCACUCUAGAAGAAAUAUUUAAUUUUACCUUCUGAAUUCUCCACUUAGGUAGAAUAAAAGGUAAAAUAAACUUGUGGCCUCAAAUCAAAGUAGGUGGAAC